Molecule: ribosomal RNA, 1015 nt
Filed under: Enterococcus faecium
Lineage: Bacteria; Bacillati; Bacillota; Bacilli; Lactobacillales; Enterococcaceae
Description: bacterial SSU rRNA
Rfam family: Bacterial small subunit ribosomal RNA
Source: RNAcentral
GCUCCACCGGAAAAAGAAGAGUGGCGAACGGGUGAGUAACACGUGGGUAACCUGCCCAUCAGAAGGGGAUAACACUUGGAAACAGGUGCUAAUACCGUAUAACAAUCAAAACCGCAUGGUUUUGAUUUGAAAGGCGCUUUCGGGUGUCGCUGAUGGAUGGACCCGCGGUGCAUUAGCUAGUUGGUGAGGUAACGGCUCACCAAGGCCACGAUGCAUAGCCGACCUGAGAGGGUGAUCGGCCACAUUGGGACUGAGACACGGCCCAAACUCCUACGGGAGGCAGCAGUAGGGAAUCUUCGGCAAUGGACGAAAGUCUGACCGAGCAACGCCGCGUGAGUGAAGAAGGUUUUCGGAUCGUAAAACUCUGUUGUUAGAGAAGAACAAGGAUGAGAGUAACUGUUCAUCCCUUGACGGUAUCUAACCAGAAAGCCACGGCUAACUACGUGCCAGCAGCCGCGGUAAUACGUAGGUGGCAAGCGUUGUCCGGAUUUAUUGGGCGUAAAGCGAGCGCAGGCGGUUUCUUAAGUCUGAUGUGAAAGCCCCCGGCUCAACCGGGGAGGGUCAUUGGAAACUGGGAGACUUGAGUGCAGAAGAGGAGAGUGGAAUUCCAUGUGUAGCGGUGAAAUGCGUAGAUAUAUGGAGGAACACCAGUGGCGAAGGCGGCUCUCUGGUCUGUAACUGACGCUGAGGCUCGAAAGCGUGGGGAGCAAACAGGAUUAGAUACCCUGGUAGUCCACGCCGUAAACGAUGAGUGCUAAGUGUUGGAGGGUUUCCGCCCUUCAGUGCUGCAGCUAACGCAUUAAGCACUCCGCCUGGGGAGUACGACCGCAAGGUUGAAACUCAAAGGAAUUGACGGGGGCCCGCACAAGCGGUGGAGCAUGUGGUUUAAUUCGAAGCAACGCGAAGAACCUUACCAGGUCUUGACAUCCUUUGACCACUCUAGAGAUAGAGCUUCCCCUUCGGGGGCAAAGUGACAGGUGGUGCAUGGGUGUCGUCAGCUCGUGUCGUGAGAUGU